CGAAACGUCUGAGAAACAAACAAAAACAGCCAAAACUUUCAACAACGGAUCUCUUGGCUCUGGCAUCGAUGAAGAACGCAGCGAAAUGCGAUACGUAAUGCGAAUUGCAGAAUUCAGCGAGUCAUCGAAUCUUUGAACGCACAUUGCGCCCGCCAGCAUUCUGGCGGGCAUGCCUGUCCGAGCGUCAUUUCCCCCCUCAGCA
Molecule: ribosomal RNA, 202 nt
Filed under: Ophiostoma bacillisporum
Lineage: Eukaryota; Fungi; Ascomycota; Sordariomycetes; Ophiostomatales; Ophiostomataceae
Description: 5.8S ribosomal RNA
Rfam family: 5.8S ribosomal RNA (bases 34-187)
About the family: 5.8S ribosomal RNA (5.8S rRNA) is a component of the large subunit of the eukaryotic ribosome. It is transcribed by RNA polymerase I as part of the 45S precursor that also contains 18S and 28S rRNA.
Source: RNAcentral